UUCUUUGUCCAGAGACACAGAGCUGUACCUGGGCUAAUCUUGGGGAAAAGCUUUUAAUUGUCGCUGUUGAUUCUGUGCUGUUUUAUUGGCUGUAGGUCGCCCCUUUAUUAAGAAAGGAACGAGUGAACGAAAGCGAGCAGGAUCGGAUCUGCUUAACCUACGAUUCCGCUCCGAUCAUUAGUGUCACCCAAAAGAACAGAUACUUAAAGACGUGGGUUACGUUAAACCGCGGUUUAAUCGUGACAUUUCAAAUAAUAGCUUAAUGAACAUAGAACUCAUCAACCGUAAAAUCAGAGUUUGGAAGCCAGGACGAGUUAUAUUGAACCAGAAUGCGUUUGGUUUGGGUCGAGGAAGUCACGUUGAGAGUGCUUGAUGUGGGCGAAAGUCCAUCCGAACUGUCAGAACGAGGCCAGUUGCGCGGGACCGAUAAGAAUGCUUUGAAAACGGCCUCUCUUCAUCACGGUGAUGAGGGAUGAGGGAAGGGCUUUCAUUAUUUAGUACGUGCUGUCCGUGACGUAUUUCCGGCCUGGCCGUGGUGGCUGAGGCCUAUGUACAAGUGGUUCUGCGAGACUCUGCGUUCUUGGGUAUCGUCCCCUUCCUCUUGUCACCGGGAUGUGGAGCCUUCGUUACCUCGACCGCGGAAGAGACGGUAUCGCAGUUCUCAGUCCUGUGUAGAAGAGCCUGACCAGGAGCAAGCAAAAAGACAAAAACUUGAUAUUUUUGGUCUACUAACUCAAGGACUUGCCAGUCUGAUUAAGAUACCAUCCCAUUUAACAGCUAAAUAUCUUCAAGUUGGAGAUCAAUAUGCUGAAACUACAAAAGAGUUUCUUUCAAAUGCUUCUGAUGCCUUGGCUGACAAGCAGAUGCAGCCUAACUCUGAGAUGCAGUUGUGUAACUUUGAUAAAAAAGCAAGUUAUGGUACCUGUAUUCAUCCAGAUGUAGCAUCUGACUCUCGUAUUCCUGUGACUUAUAUGAGAGAUGACUUUAGUUUCAAAAACAUUAAUAAGAAAACUCAUAAUGUGCUUCAAGAGGAUUUGCGGCCAUGGAGGCAUAUUACUCACAGACAUUCAUUAGAAGCUUCUGCUUUAGAGACUGGAAGGUAUCUAAGGAAACCUCAUUCUACCGUGGAAGAGGGAGUUCAGAGACUGGAGCAAGAGAAAUACAAAGAACUACUUAAGCAAGAAAAAGAAAAGAGUCUUAAAAUUCACCCUUCUGGUGCAGUAGCAAAAUACCAUAAUGUCCAAGAUUAUGCCACUGGAUCCUUAAAGUUUGAUCUCAUCCCUUCAUCUGAAAUGCCAAGAAAUGGAAUCAAGAACUUCGGUCACUUGGGCUCUAAAAAUGAUAUCAGCAAGUCAAUAACAAUAGCAAAAAGAAUAACAGAACAUGAAAAGGUAUUUGAACAGAAAAAAGAGAGGUCAGUGCAGCCAUUGAUGGGAAAUGAUCUAUCAGAAGAAGUAUCACUUAGAUUAAGCUUGGUCCAGAAAGAAUUAUCAUGCAGAAGACAUUCUCUGGCUGAAAUAAGAGAAAAGUAUCGGAGUUUGGAAAAAGCUACAGAGUGCUUCCCUGAGUUUACAAAGGAUAUGGAAAAAGAGAUAACAAAUGCUCUGAGCUAUGGUCAGGAUGAUGAAAUUUUGACUAGCGCCUUCAAGCUGAAUAUUACACGAAGAGACAUUCAAACGUUAAGAAACCAGCAGUGGCUCAAUGAUGUGGUCAUUAAUUUCUAUAUGAAUCUUCUGGUUGAGAGAAAUAAAAUGCCGGGAUUUCCAGUACUUUACGCGUUCAGUACUUUCUUCUAUUCCAAGCUAAGUUCUAUGGGUUAUAAUGCAGUAAAAAGAUGGACCAAAGAAGUUGACUUAUUCCAGCAUGACAUAAUCUUGGUGCCUAUUCAUAUCAGACUACAUUGGGCAUUAGCGGUUAUAGAUUUGAGGAGAAAAACUAUCAAAUAUUUUGAUUCAAUGGGACAAAAUGGCACCAGGAUCUGCAUGAGAUUGUUACAAUAUCUGCAAGAGGAAAGUAAAGCGAAGAAAAACCUGGAUAUUAAUAUUUCAUCUUGGACACUUUACAGUAUGAAGCCUCAUAUUCAGCAGAAGAAGCAUGCUUAUGGGUCCUGUAUGGGAGCUGCAUUUGGAAAUUCCUCAGCAAUUAAAUGGAAGUGACUGUGGAAUGUUUACUUGCAAGUUUGCAGACUUUGUCUCUAGGGAUAAACCCAUUGCAUUUACACAGUUUCACAUGCCUUAUUAUCGAAAAAAAAUGGUAUGGGAGAUUCUUCAUCAGCAGUUGCUUUGAUGCCAGACCGCUGUUAUGAUUCAUGUGCUAUAAAACACCAUCCAGUUAUACAGUUGACUUGUACCCAUUUAAAGGCAAAGGUUUGAAAUACCCUCUUCUGGCUAAGUUCCAUUUCAGAGAUGGGAGUUAUCCAGAAGUAUAGUAGAAGCUUUUCAUUGAAGCUUGCUUUCUUGAAGUUUUCUUUCCAAGAAAAAAAUAUGGCAGCAGGCAGGAAUAAAAAAAGUAUUUUUAAGUAGACUAAUGCUGAGUUUUUGGAUGAAUAUGACCUAUGUGACAUAUAAAAAAGAAAUAUACAUAUAUUGCAAUUUUCCAAAGAAUGCCAGGUUGUCUAUGGUUUCAAUGCCCUGAUUGGAUUCAAACUUAGUACUGCUUAUAAGUAAUGCAAUUGUAAUUGUAGCUGAUUUUAUCCCAUUAAUUUUAACUGAUCUACUCAAACCAAAAUACAAUUAGGACUCGCCCUUUGAUUAUAAGCAAAAAGCAUGCCUUUUGAGUUUUAUUUUUGAAGUUUUAUUGUAUACUUCUGUUGGGAGAUUUGGUCUGGAAUCUAUGACUGUAUUUUGCAAGCAGUGAAAGGAGUGUGCUUACCCAUAGUAUGUUCCUGAGUUUAUAUUUUCAUAUAACUGGAUCUUAGUGAUGCUGAAAAAUGGAAAAUUCUGUUUGAUUUGUAACAAAUCCAUUGUAAAAACCCUAGGUGGGAAUUAUUCUUUAUUUAAAAAUUAAACUGUUGUAUGAGACUAUUUAUUUGUAUUCUUGAAUGUGUUGGAUAUAUGUUGGAAUUUCAAGAUAGUUUAACUAAAAUGGAAAUAAACAUCUAGUAAAAA
Pseudonaja textilis is the source of this 3107-nucleotide non-coding RNA. The record is from RefSeq and is a predicted model, not a curated record. Lineage: Eukaryota; Metazoa; Chordata; Lepidosauria; Squamata; Elapidae.